Molecule: long non-coding RNA, 782 nt
Filed under: Triticum aestivum (bread wheat)
Lineage: Eukaryota; Viridiplantae; Streptophyta; Magnoliopsida; Poales; Poaceae
Description: long non-coding RNA (TAES_LNC007575)
Source: RNAcentral
AUCUUUUAGAAUUAGAACAUGACACUACUUAGAUAUAUCUCCUUGACACAGAGAUCCUAAAAAACAUCAGGCACAUAAGCCUAAACAAAAUAGUGGUGGUUACCUUGGAUUCAUUGGUUCAGAUCUCAUGGCUCCAUAGGAUGGUGAUGCAAAAGAACACUACUUUUUUGUGAAUUUAGUAGCAAACCUGCAAUGCACAAAAAAGAUGAAAUGGUUAAUAAAUGUGCCAAUCAUUCUGAAGCUAGCUAUCAUGCGAAGAUAGAGAAGGAAGGUGACAACGGGUAAGGAAUGCUAUCAUGGUCUAAAAUAAAAUUAAAAACCCUUUGGAAUCUCAGAAACUAUUAUCAUAGAGAUUAGCUAGCUACCAUGCAAUAAUUUUAGAAAACGACAGGUAUAAGCAAUGUGACACAGAAAAGCAAGACAAUCAUUGACCAUGAAAGAAAUAUAUCGGUAACAUCUUCCUUAUAACAUGUCUAUUUCUAAUGAUAAGAUAUGAACAAUAAUAACAUGUAAUGGCGCAAUCGUCACCACGAUCUACUUUCAAACCUCCUCCACACCGCAGAAGGAACACUGGAAGAUCAGAAUAUGAUGGCAGCCUGACAAAGCUGUAGCCCACCCAAAUAGGAGCAAGAUUGGUGCCCAACAUCAAUUGACCUGUCAGAGAAAGGCAAAAAAGACUAAAGUGAUAGCCUGACUAUAGAUGCUAGAAUUAUGGAUCGAGCAAUAACCUGAGUUUUAUUGACCCUUGACCCCGACAAAGCGGUAGCAGCAGCAACCACAUG